This 253-nucleotide ribosomal RNA is filed under the name uncultured bacterium. RNAcentral describes it as "partial 16S ribosomal RNA". It matches the Rfam family "Bacterial small subunit ribosomal RNA", at positions 524 to 776 of the family's 1533-position model. The record is from RNAcentral.
UACGAACCGGACGAACGUUAUUCGGAAUCAUUGGGCUUAAAGGGUGCGUAGGCGGCCGCGUAAGUCGGGUGUGAAAUCCCUCGGCUCAACCGAGGAAUUGCGCCCGAUACUGCGUGGCUAGAGGGAGACAGAGGCGAGCGGAACUGAUGGUGGAGCGGUGAAAUGCGUUGAUAUCAUCAGGAACACCGGUGGCGAAGGCGGCUCGCUGGGUCUCUUCUGACGCUCAGGAACGAAAGCUAGGGUAGCAAACAGG